Cinara cedri is the source of this 448-nucleotide non-coding RNA. NCBI's taxonomy places the organism in Eukaryota, Metazoa, Arthropoda, Insecta, Hemiptera, Aphididae. The record is from the annotation of a GenBank genome assembly.
AGUAAAAUAUCGCAUUUCAGACCUCUAGCGCGUUUAUACAAUACGCGUAUAAUAGCCAUUACCCACAAGUUUUAUAAUUAAAGCGAAAUAUUUCAACGGGUCGGGAUUUGGGUCAGGGGUGUAUUUGGGAGAUUGUAGGCGGAGGGGUGUAGCAAUUGACACAGCCACCUCGAGCUGCAAAUGUAUAAGGUGCGGCCGGUCGCAAAUCUGUUUACUAAAAUAUUUUUGCGUUUUUCGGGUGUUCCAAUUGAACCGUUUUUGGUGGCCGAUUUAAUUUAAAUGCUCAAACUACACUUGCCCAAUGUGUCUUUUAAAACGGCGUUUUAUUUAUCACGUUACAUUUAUUAAACGGCUGUCGGAGUAGGCAAUUUCACAGCGUCGCCGCGUUGCCGGUCGGGUCUCUCUGACCAUCGCGCGUCGUCAAUCUAAUUGCGUGAAAAAAAACCUG